This 752-nucleotide ribosomal RNA is filed under the name Staphylococcus pasteuri. Its description in RNAcentral is "bacterial SSU rRNA". It matches the Rfam family "Bacterial small subunit ribosomal RNA", at positions 49 to 784 of the family's 1533-position model. The record is from RNAcentral. Lineage: Bacteria; Bacillati; Bacillota; Bacilli; Caryophanales; Staphylococcaceae.
CUAUACAUGCAGUCGAGCGAACAGAUAAGGAGCUUGCUCCUUUGACGUUAGCGGCGGACGGGUGAGUAACACGUGGAUAACCUACCUAUAAGACUGGGAUAACUUCGGGAAACCGGAGCUAAUACCGGAUAAGAUUUUGAACCGCAUGGUUCAAUAGUGAAAGACGGCCUUGCUGUCACUUAUAGAUGGAUCCGCGCCGUAUUAGCUAGUUGGUAAGGUAACGGCUUACCAAGGCAACGAUACGUAGCCGACCUGAGAGGGUGAUCGGCCACACUGGAACUGAGACACGGUCCAGACUCCUACGGGAGGCAGCAGUAGGGAAUCUUCCGCAAUGGGCGAAAGCCUGACGGAGCAACGCCGCGUGAGUGAUGAAGGUCUUCGGAUCGUAAAACUCUGUUAUCAGGGAAGAACAAACGUGUAAGUAACUGUGCACGUCUUGACGGUACCUGAUCAGAAAGCCACGGCUAACUACGUGCCAGCAGCCGCGGUAAUACGUAGGUGGCAAGCGUUAUCCGGAAUUAUUGGGCGUAAAGCGCGCGUAGGCGGUUUUUUAAGUCUGAUGUGAAAGCCCACGGCUCAACCGUGGAGGGUCAUUGGAAACUGGAAAACUUGAGUGCAGAAGAGGAAAGUGGAAUUCCAUGUGUAGCGGUGAAAUGCGCAGAGAUAUGGAGGAACACCAGUGGCGAAGGCGACUUUCUGGUCUGUAACUGACGCUGAUGUGCGAAAGCGUGGGGAUCAAACAGGAUUAGAUA